UGUAGCAGAUGUGGCAGUUACUGACAGAGAAGAGGGUCGGAUCAUUGCCCAUUAGGGGUACUCUUCAUGACUGCGGCGCACAACACAGGAGGGUAUGACCACACGGCUAUUUUUGCCCAGGUAUCCCCAGCACCAGGACACAAAACUUCGAUAGGCCAGAACAGGAUCCCAGAAGAUGACAUUCUGAUUCAUCAACCUGCAGCAUGUGUCAUCAUGUAGCCUGUAUGGAUGUGUGAUGAAAUGGAGAGUUUUUUACUCUUUAACAUUUCAUGUAAUUGUCCAAGUGACUUAUCAUCCAUUGGUUUCUGGUGACAUUGAUAAAAAAGCACUGUACAAACAAUGGGUAGAAGAGAGGACCAUCAUAACAGGAUGUCUCAAGUACUGACCUAUAAUUACAGGUUAUUGUUUGUGUUCAGAUAAAUUUCCUUAUUGAUCUUUUUCACCAUCAUAUACAGUAUCUCAUGGGACAACACUAUAGAAAUGACAAUUUGAUAUAACUUAAAGUAGUCAGUGUACAGCUUGUGUAGUAGCAUAGAUUUACCUUCCUCUGAAAAUGACUCAAAACACAGCCAUCAACAUCUAAACAGCUGGCAACAUAAGUGAGUACACCCCACAGUGAACAUGUCCAAAUUGUGCCUGAAGUGUCAGUAUUUUGUGUGCCAGCCAUUAUUAUCUAGCACUGCCUGAACCCUUUUGGGCAUGGAAUUCACCAGAGGUCACAGGUUGCUUCAGGAAUCCUCUCCCACUCCUUCAUGAUGACGUCAUGGAGCAGAUGGAUGUGAAGACACCUUGCGCUACCCCACCUUCAGCUUGAGGAUGGCCCACAGGUGCACAGGUGAGUUUAGGGCUGGAUACAUACUUGGCCAGUCCAUCACCUUCACCUUCAGCUUCCUCAGCAAGGUGGUUGUCAUCCACUAGGUGUGUUUGGGUCAUUAUCAUGUUGGAAAACUGCAUUGCGGCUCAGUUUCUGAAGAGGGGCGAUCAUGCUCUGCUUGGAAUUCAUGUUUCCCUAAAUGAACCGAGCUCCC
Molecule: long non-coding RNA, 1028 nt
Organism: Epinephelus fuscoguttatus (brown-marbled grouper)
Lineage: Eukaryota; Metazoa; Chordata; Actinopteri; Perciformes; Serranidae
Exons: 3
Source: RefSeq, a predicted model, not a curated record